AACGAACGCUGGCGGCAUGCCUAACACAUGCAAGUCGAACGAUGCCUUCGGGCAUAGUGGCGCACGGGUGCGUAACGCGUGGGAAUCUGCCUUUCGGUUCGGAAUAACUCAGGGAAACUUGAGCUAAUACCGGAUAACGUCGCAAGACCAAAGAUUUAUCACCGAAAGAUGAGCCCGCGUAGGAUUAGCUAGUUGGUGAGGUAAAGGCUCACCAAGGCGACGAUCCUUAGCUGGUCUGAGAGGAUGAUCAGCCACACUGGGACUGAGACACGGCCCAGACUCCUACGGGAGGCAGCAGUGGGGAAUAUUGGACAAUGGGCGAAAGCCUGAUCCAGCAAUGCCGCGUGAGUGAUGAAGGCCUUAGGGUUGUAAAGCUCUCUUACCCGGGAAGAUAAUGACGGUACCGGGAGAAUAAGCCCCGGCUAACUCCGUG
This 433-nucleotide ribosomal RNA is filed under the name uncultured bacterium. RNAcentral's name for it is "partial 16S ribosomal RNA". It matches the Rfam family "Bacterial small subunit ribosomal RNA", at positions 29 to 507 of the family's 1533-position model. The record is from RNAcentral.